AAGUCGUAACAAGGUAUCCGUAGGUGAACCUGCGGAUGGAUCAUUAGAAAGAUUAUAUUUGAAGGUAGUGUGAACUGGUUAUUGUUUGUUGACGUAGUUCAAAUCUUUUGUACUACAAGGUCAACUUAUAUACUUUUACUACUAAAUUCAAAUGUGUCAUGUACACAAACAAAAGUUAUACAACUUUUAGCAAUGGAUCUCUUGGCUCUC
This 210-nucleotide unclassified non-coding RNA is filed under the name fungal sp. RNAcentral describes it as "partial internal transcribed spacer region". The stretch from base 1 to 46 matches the Rfam family "Eukaryotic small subunit ribosomal RNA", at positions 1786 to 1831 of the family's 1831-position model. The record is from RNAcentral. Lineage: Eukaryota; Fungi.